This 471-nucleotide ribosomal RNA is filed under the name uncultured bacterium. RNAcentral describes it as "bacterial SSU rRNA". It matches the Rfam family "Bacterial small subunit ribosomal RNA", at positions 335 to 798 of the family's 1533-position model. The record is from RNAcentral.
ACUCCUACGGGAGGCAGCAGUGGGGAAUAUUGCACAAUGGGCGCAAGCCUGAUGCAGCCAUGCCGCGUGUGUGAAGAAGGCCUUCGGGUUGUAAAGCACUUUCAGUUGUGAGGAAGGUGGUGUCGUUAAUAGCGGCAUUAUUUGACGUUAGCAACAGAAGAAGCAUCGGCUAACUCCGUGCCAGCAGCCGCGGUAAUACGGAGGGUGCGAGCGUUAAUCGGAAUUACUGGGCGUAAAGCGCAUGCAGGUGGUUUGUUAAGUCAGAUGUGAAAGCCCGGGGCUCAACCUCGGAACUGCAUUUGAAACUGGCAGACUAGAGUACUGUAGAGGGGGUAGAAUUUCAGGUGUAGCGGUGAAAUGCGUAGAGAUCUGAAGGAAUACCGGUGGCGAAGGCGGCCCCCUGGACAGAUACUGACACUCAGAUGCGAAAGCGUGGGGAGCAAACAGGAUUAGAUACCCUGGUAGCGUCGU